GCGCUCAGAGGUCGUGUGAUGUGCCAGCUCAAUUAAUGAGCCACCAUCCAACGUCUCUCCUUUUUUCCUUUUUUUAAUUUCUGAUUUCUAUUUUCUUUAUUUCUUUUAAUCCCCUUUUAUUUCAAAAAUCAAUAUCUUCUUUAUUUUUAAUCCAAAAAUUAUGGGACCAAUUGCAUUAGUCUCCAAAUAAUUUCUAGUUUCUAUUUCUGAUUUUUAAUAUUUUUU
Molecule: long non-coding RNA, 225 nt
Filed under: Lathyrus oleraceus (garden pea)
Lineage: Eukaryota; Viridiplantae; Streptophyta; Magnoliopsida; Fabales; Fabaceae
Description: Pisum sativum (pea) long non-coding RNA (PSAT_LNC035714)
Source: RNAcentral